Molecule: transfer RNA, 75 nt
Filed under: Hoplobatrachus tigerinus (Indus valley bullfrog)
Lineage: Eukaryota; Metazoa; Chordata; Amphibia; Anura; Dicroglossidae
Description: tRNA-Met 1
Rfam family: tRNA
About the family: Transfer RNA (tRNA) molecules are approximately 80 nucleotides in length. Their secondary structure includes four short double-helical elements and three loops (D, anti-codon, and T loops).
Source: RNAcentral
UAGUAAGGUAAGCUAAAUACUAAGCUCUUGGGCUCAUGCCCCAAAAAUGUUGGUGAAAACCCUCCCCUUACUAUC